UACGUAGGGUGCGAGCGUUAAUCGGAAUUACUGGGCGUAAAGCGUGCGUAGGCGGUUCGUUAAGUUCGUCGUGAAAGCCCCGGGCCCAACCUGGGAAUGGCGAUGGAAACUGGCGGGCUGGAGUAUGGCAGAGGGGGGUGGAAUUCCGCGUGUAGCAGUGAAAUGCGUAGAGAUGCGGAGGAACACCGAUGGCGAAGGCAGCCCCCUGGGCCAAUACUGACGCUCAGGCACGAAAGCGUGGGGAGCAAACAGG
This 253-nucleotide ribosomal RNA is filed under the name uncultured bacterium. Its description in RNAcentral is "partial 16S ribosomal RNA". It matches the Rfam family "Bacterial small subunit ribosomal RNA", at positions 524 to 776 of the family's 1533-position model. The record is from RNAcentral.